This 254-nucleotide ribosomal RNA is filed under the name uncultured bacterium. RNAcentral describes it as "partial 16S ribosomal RNA". It matches the Rfam family "Bacterial small subunit ribosomal RNA", at positions 524 to 776 of the family's 1533-position model. The record is from RNAcentral.
UACGUAGGGUGCAAGCGUUGUCCGGAAUUAUUGGGCGUAAAGAGCUCGUAGGCGGUUUGUCGCGUCUGCUGUGAAAAACGCGGGGCUCAACUCCGCGCCUGCAGUGGGUACGGGCAGACUAGAGUGCAGUAGGGGAGACUGGAAUUCCUGGUGUAGCGGUGGAAUGCGCAGAUAUCAGGAGGAACACCGGUGGCGAAGGCGGGUCUCUGGGCUGUAACUGACGCUGAGGAGCGAAAGCGUGGGUAGCGAACAGG